This 387-nucleotide unclassified non-coding RNA is filed under the name Hevea brasiliensis (rubber tree). Lineage: Eukaryota; Viridiplantae; Streptophyta; Magnoliopsida; Malpighiales; Euphorbiaceae. The record is from RNAcentral.
AAAAAUGCUAGGUCUUAUUCUAUUCAGUUUUUUAUGAUGUGACAUAAUAAAUUCGAGUUUAAUGUUUUUGGAAGUCACAAUCGGUAUAGUAGAUAUUUAUUAUAAAAGGUCCUUGGUUUACCAAUUUAUUAUUUGUGAUCAUAAUCAUCCCUUGAACUCAUUCCAGUCCUUGUGUUUCGAGGCUAGGAUAUAGAUGGAUGAAAAUGUUAAGAAAGAAAAAACAGUUGGGGAUUUGGCAUCUAACAAUUUAUUAGUAUUAUUUGCUUGUUCUUUGUUAACUUUUAAAUAUGACAAGGAUGUAAACUUUCAAAAUUUUUAUAUGUUAUUUAGAAAUUCAUGUUUAUGAUAACACCUUUCUUCCUGCAGGUAUAUCUAGGGGAGCAGUAC